GUAGAUUAAAUUAUUUUUAUUUUAAUUUUACUUUUUUUGAAAUAAGAAUAUUAUUUUUUAUUACUUUGUUAGGAACAAAUUGACUUUAGUGAUAGUUAAUUAGUACUGUGAUGGAAUUAACUUAAACAUUAAAAAGAAUAAUUUAUUUUUUGUACCUUGUGUAUCAGGGCUGAUUAAUUUUGAAUUAAAGAUUUAGUUAUCCCGAAUUCAGAAGAGCUAUUUAUGUUUAUAUUUUAUUGUGAAAUAAAUAUUUAUAAAAUAUAGGUUGUAAUGAAAUGUUAUUCGUUUCUGAAUAUAUCUGGUUUCUCAAGAAAAAAAUUUAAUUUUUUUAUUAAUAUAUUAAUUUUUCAAUUUUUUGAUUUUUGAUAUUAAUAACUUAUAUUUUCAGGGAUGAGCUUGAAUUUAGAUUUUUACAAGCAACAUGAUUGGGUUUAAUGAAUUAUGAUUAGAAGUUUUGAUAUUUUGGAGGAUGUUAUAGUCUAUUUAAUUUUAAGUAUUAUUUUUAUUUGCUUUAAGUUUUUUAUUGAGAUUUAUUUAAUAAUAUUGUUUAUUUAUUAAUAAUGAUUAUAUUAGUAUAAUUCUUUGUUUUAUUUUUGUAGUUUAUUAGAUUAGGAAAAGGAAUUCGGCAAAUAAAUUCUUCACCUGUUUAUUAAAAACAUGGCCUUUUGAGGAUAAUUUAAGGUCUGACCUGCCCGCUGAGUAGUUAAAUGGCCGCGGUAUUUUGACCGUGCGAAGGUAGCAUAAUAAUUAGUUUUUUAAUUGAAAGCUGGAAUGAAUGGUCGAAUGAGGGAGUAACUGUCUCUUUCUAAAUAUUUAUAAUUUUAUUUUUAAGUUAAAAAGCUUAAAUGUUUUUAAAAGACGAGAAGACCCUUUAGAGUUUUAUAUAAGUUGAAAUUUUUACUUAUUAGGAUGUUUAAAAUAAAGAUUUUAUUUUAUAUUUGGUUGGGGCGAUUGAAAAAUUAAUAUAACUUUUUUGUAAUUUGAACAUUAAUGAAUGAUUACUUGAUCCAUUAAUAUUGAUUAUCAGAUAAAAUUACCUUAGGGAUAACAGCGUAAUUCUUUUUGAGAGUUCUAAUCGAAAAAAGGGUUUGCGACCUCGAUGUUGGAUUAAAAUUUAAUUUUGGUGCAGAAGCUAAAAGAUUGGGUCUGUUCGACCUUUAAAAUUUUACAUGAUCUGAGUUUAAACCGGUGUGAGCCAGGUUGGUUUCUAUCUUUAAUCAUUUAAAAUUUCUUAGUACGAGAGGACCGGGGAUUUAAUAAAUUAUUUUAUUUUUGAUUUUUAUU
RNAcentral lists this ribosomal RNA (1284 nucleotides) under Cerambycidae sp. 2 KM-2017. Its description in RNAcentral is "16S ribosomal RNA". The stretch from base 852 to 1217 matches the Rfam family "Bacterial large subunit ribosomal RNA", at positions 2073 to 2647 of the family's 2925-position model. The record is from RNAcentral. Lineage: Eukaryota; Metazoa; Arthropoda; Insecta; Coleoptera; Cerambycidae.